Long non-coding RNA from Suricata suricatta (meerkat), 312 nucleotides. RefSeq lists it as uncharacterized. The transcript has 3 exons. The record is from RefSeq and is a predicted model, not a curated record. Lineage: Eukaryota; Metazoa; Chordata; Mammalia; Carnivora; Herpestidae.
GCCUGCUGGUGAAUGCUGAUCUCUUCAGAGUGCCCUCUGCAUGGCCACCAAUCUCAGUCUUGAGAGCGUGGUUCGAUUAAACCUAUGAGUGGGUCCAACCUUUCUGAGCAAGACUGAAGGCAAUUCCAAGCCUACUUCCCUGGGAAGCCAGAGGAGGCAGUGAGCACCUGUUUACCCCAGCUGUGAAUUCCUGGGCACCGCAGCAAUGAAUUCAUCUUCUGAUGCCUGAUAAAUGAUUUAUUAGAGUGUGACCUACUCGUCUCAUCACUUUAAGGAGAGCUGGCCCAGGAGGCAGAGGAGAUUUGGAAAGGC